UUUCCGUAGGUGAACCUGCGGAAGGAUCAUUAACGAGUUUGACAUGGGUUGAUGCUGGCCUUCCGAGGCAUGUGCUCGCCCUGCUCAUCCAUCUACACCUGUGCACCUAUUGUGGUUCUGGGUUUGACCGGGGUUGGAUAACGACCUUGAGAUGCCCGUUCCAUGUAUUUUACACACUCUAUACAAGUUCAGAAUGUCUACUUGCGAUAAUACGCAUUUAAAAACAACUUUCAACAACGGAUCUCUUGGCUCUCGCAUCGAUGAAGAACGCAGC
Molecule: unclassified non-coding RNA, 274 nt
Filed under: uncultured fungus
Lineage: Eukaryota; Fungi
Description: sequence contains ITS1, 5.8S rRNA gene
Rfam family: 5.8S ribosomal RNA (bases 226-274)
Source: RNAcentral